This 253-nucleotide ribosomal RNA is filed under the name uncultured bacterium. RNAcentral's name for it is "partial 16S ribosomal RNA". It matches the Rfam family "Bacterial small subunit ribosomal RNA", at positions 524 to 776 of the family's 1533-position model. RNAcentral also lists the same sequence under 1 other name. The record is from RNAcentral.
UACGGAGGAUGCAAGCGUUAUCCGGAAUGAUUGGGCGUAAAGCGUCCGCAGGUGGCGAUGUAAGUCUGCUGUUAAAGAGUCUAGCUCAACUAGAUAAGAGCAGUGGAAACUACAUAGCUAGAGUACGUUCGGGGCAGAGGGAAUUCCUGGUGUAGCGGUGAAAUGCGUAGAGAUCAGGAAGAACACCAGUGGCGAAGGCGCUCUGCUAGGCCGUAACUGACACUGAGGGACGAAAGCUAGGGGAGCGAAUGGG